This is a long non-coding RNA of Etheostoma cragini (Arkansas darter), 364 nucleotides long. RefSeq lists it as uncharacterized. Lineage: Eukaryota; Metazoa; Chordata; Actinopteri; Perciformes; Percidae. The record is from RefSeq and is a predicted model, not a curated record. The transcript has 5 exons.
CCGGGACACUGUUGGUGAAGGUGGAACAGGGCCGUGAUGUUGUGUUACCCUGCUCUCUCAGCACCAAGGAGGACAUUGAGUUUAAUCUCUUUGACUGGAAGAAAGCUCCUCAGAAAGAUGAAGGUCUGAAGAAGGUGUUCCUGUAUAACGACGGCUUUCAUUACAACAACGGUCGAGCUGGUCAGAGUGAAGAGUUCAAAGGUCGAGUCUCUCAUUUUCAAGAUGAACUGAAACACAGCAACGCCUCCAUAAUCAUCAGAAAUACAAAGAUAUCUGACAGUGGAGUCUACAGCUGUGAUUUUCCUCGUCUUCAGCCUCGUCAAAAAUUCUACAUUGAGCUUGUUGUUGCUGCUUCUCCAGCACC